Molecule: ribosomal RNA, 921 nt
Filed under: uncultured Bacteroidota bacterium
Lineage: Bacteria; Pseudomonadati; Bacteroidota
Description: bacterial SSU rRNA
Rfam family: Bacterial small subunit ribosomal RNA
Source: RNAcentral
UGGAUCCAGACUUGAUUCUGGCUCAGGAUGAACGCUAGCGGCAGGCUUAACACAUGCAAGUCGAGGGGCAGCAUAAUGGAUAGCAAUAUCUAUGGUGGCGACCGGCGCACGGGUGCGUAACGCGUAUGCAACCUACCUUUAACAGGGGGAUAACACUGAGAAAUUGGUACUAAUACCCCAUAAUAUCAUAGAAGGCAUCUUUUAUGGUUGAAAAUUCCGAUGGUUAGAGAUGGGCAUGCGUUGUAUUAGCUAGUUGGUGGGGUAACGGCUCACCAAGGCGACGAUACAUAGGGGGACUGAGAGGUUAACCCCCCACACUGGUACUGAGACACGGACCAGACUCCUACGGGAGGCAGCAGUGAGGAAUAUUGGUCAAUGGACGCAAGUCUGAACCAGCCAUGCCGCGUGCAGGAUGACGGCUCUAUGAGUUGUAAACUGCUUUUGUACGAGGGUAAACGCAGAUACGUGUAUCUGUCUGAAAGUAUCGUACGAAUAAGGAUCGGCUAACUCCGUGCCAGCAGCCGCGGUAAUACGGAGGAUUCAAGCGUUAUCCGGAUUUAUUGGGUUUAAAGGGUGCGUAGGCGGUUUGAUAAGUUAGAGGUGAAAUUUCGGGGCUCAACCCUGAACGUGCCUCUAAUACUGUUGAGCUAGAGAGUAGUUGCGGUAGGCGGAAUGUAUGGUGUAGCGGUGAAAUGCUUAGAGAUCAUACAGAACACCGAUUGCGAAGGCAGCUUACCAAACUAUAUCUGACGUUGAGGCACGAAAGCGUGGGGAGCAAACAGGAUUAGAUACCCUGGUAGUCCACGCAGUAAACGAUGAUAACUCGUUGUCGGCGAUACACAGUCGGUGACUAAGCGAAAGCGAUAAGUUAUCCACCUGGGGAGUACGUUCGCAAGAAUGCAACUCAAAUGAAUUGACGGA